UACGUAGGGUGCGAGCGUUAAUCGGAAUUACUGGGCGUAAAGCGUGCGCAGGCGGUUCGCUGUGUCCUGUGUGAAAGCCCCGGGCUUAACCUGGGAAUGGCAUGGGAAACUGGCGGGCUGGAGUGUGGCAGAGGGGGGUGGAAUUCCGCGUGUAGCAGUGAAAUGCGUAGAGAUGCGGAGGAACACUGAUGGCGAAGGCAGCCCCCUGGGCUAACACUGACGCUCAGGCACGAAAGCGUGGGGAGCAAACAGG
RNAcentral lists this ribosomal RNA (253 nucleotides) under uncultured bacterium. RNAcentral's name for it is "partial 16S ribosomal RNA". It matches the Rfam family "Bacterial small subunit ribosomal RNA", at positions 524 to 776 of the family's 1533-position model. The record is from RNAcentral.